GAGGAGUCAGUUUUGGGGUCGGAAAUUGGCAAACAUAGGAGGCUGAGUACGACAAUCUGGCACCGUGUUUACACUCUCCAACGGGGCACAUGUACAGCAAGAGCAAGAGCAAGAGCGGGUGGCGGUCAGCUGUUCCUAAGACUCCGAGGCCACAGGAGGGAAUUAUAGCCGAGGCAAGGACCAGUGGGUGUGUUGCUGUGCCUGUCAUGGUGUGCAGGGCAGCCUAUGCAGUGCUUGAGGCGGCCCGCUGCUGCCUUAUCCGGCCCUGACGUGGACAGCUCAGCACCAGACACAGCCGCCACAACCACGAAAACACACACACACACACGCAUACACCCAGUGACAAGAUGGCGCGUCAGAGGCGGGUCCGCGGUGCCCCGUUCUCCUCACACCAGCACCACCACCACCACCACAACGACCUCUCCCAGCUGGAUGACGCGCAAGGGCUGUGUCGGCCCGGGGGGGAAGGCAGCAGCGGCAAGGUGUCCGGCCGGCGUCACCAGAAUCAGCGGAA
Eriocheir sinensis (Chinese mitten crab) is the source of this 514-nucleotide long non-coding RNA. RefSeq lists it as uncharacterized. The transcript is spliced from 3 exons. The record is from RefSeq and is a predicted model, not a curated record. Lineage: Eukaryota; Metazoa; Arthropoda; Malacostraca; Decapoda; Varunidae.